CGUGGCGGGCGGGGAGGGCUCCGGCGUUUCUAACCCUAAAUGGCUCGCGCCGCACUCCCCGCGCUCGUCCGCUGUUUUACUCGCUGACUUUCAGCGGACGAGGGGAGUGGCCCCCCGUGGCGGGGGGGCAGGGAGAGGGGGCGACGGGGGGGGGAGCAGGGCAGGGAGAGGGGGCCGGCAACCAAAAAACGUCAGCGAGGGGUCUCUCCGCCGCCGCG
This 218-nucleotide small RNA is filed under the name Apteryx rowi (Okarito brown kiwi). RNAcentral's name for it is "Vertebrate telomerase RNA (ENSARWG00000017307.1)". It matches the Rfam family "Vertebrate telomerase RNA", at positions 5 to 196 of the family's 443-position model. From Rfam's summary of the family: Telomerase is a ribonucleoprotein reverse transcriptase that synthesises telomeric DNA. Lineage: Eukaryota; Metazoa; Chordata; Aves; Apterygiformes; Apterygidae. The record is from RNAcentral.